UGUAUGUGUAUAUGUGUGUUCUCACUGAAAAAUAGUGAGAAAAUAGGCUUGAAAAAAUAAGUAUACAUUCAUAUAAUUUUUACCUUCACAUUAAUAGCAUUUGUAUAUAAUUUAGUCUUAUUUGAAUCAGUGGGGUAUAAUUAUAUGAGAAUUUGAGUUGUUUUGAUCUUACAUUUGUAGGUUCAUACCUUGGUUCCUGUCCCUCCUAUUUCCCGUUUUUUACUUUUUUCUCUAAUGGGCAGAUUUUCUUGUUCCUUCUUGCUUUCUUUCCUUCAUUCUUUAGUUGUAGUUAAUUUUUAUCCCUCUUUACAGUUGACAUCUGGUAUCUCCUGCCUCUCCUAAGAACAAUUUCUUAAGUAUCUCAAACUUUCUUUCAUCUUCCUGAUUUUCUCUUACUUAAAAAGUAGAAAUCACUGGGUGUGGUGGUGUACCCCUGUAAUCCCAGCAGCUCAGGAGGCUGAGGCAGCUGAGGCAGCUGAGGCAGGAGGAUCACCAGUUCAAAGCCAAUCUUAGCAACUUAGUGAGGCCCUAAGUAGGGCUGGGGAUAUAGUUCAGUUGGUAGAGUGCUUGCCUUGCAUGCAUAAGGCCCUGGGUUCAAUCCCCAGCACCACAAAAAAAGAGGCCCUAAGCAACUCAAUGAGACCCUGCCUCUAAAUAAAGUACAAAAUAGGGCUGGGGAUGUGUCUCAGUGGUCAAGUGCCCCUGAGUUCAACCCCUCAUACCAAAAAAAGAGCCGAAAUCCCACUAAAUAACAGAAUUAUGCAGUUUAUAUAUUUCCUACUCCAUUUCUGUUGUGAUUAUAAAUACAGUGGAUGACAUAGUAGACACCUACUGUUAAAUGUCCAAUCUAAUUCACAGUUAUUUAUAGUUGGUACUGAUGUUAAAUGCUAAUCCCAUCAUUCCUAUAUAGAUGGCAAUUAGUGUUAUAGAUUUCAAAGUACACACUGAAUAUUUAUAUUAGCACUGUACAUCUGUUGCUGACAUUAGGGCUGUCCCUGGCUCCCCCUUUCCCCUAAAAGGGGCUGGAAAAUGAUUGGGACACUUUGAGAUCACAGAGUAGUGAUCCUGAUGCCGAGAAAUCCUCACAACUCAGCCAAGCAAAAGUGAAUCUCACCCCACACAUGAUCUAGACCCACCUGAGCCCUGACAUUACUUCAACUCAUAGAAUUGGGGAGAUAAAACUCCCAAACCAAUAACCAGAGGGUGACUCAUAUUCCACCCCUUUACAUCUACUCAUAUAUCAAAAAUUGAAAGAGAUUCCAGAAGAGACAGUAACUACACACAAAAGGACAUACAUACAAAAGAGAAAGGUGAAUCCAUUUCAAUUGAUGCACAAGUUCAGGACUUUUGAAAACAUGAGAAAACAGGCAAACAAAUUUCACCCCACUCCCAAAUUUAUAAUCCCC
Molecule: long non-coding RNA, 1406 nt
Filed under: Marmota monax (woodchuck)
Lineage: Eukaryota; Metazoa; Chordata; Mammalia; Rodentia; Sciuridae
Rfam family: tRNA (bases 541-610)
Source: RNAcentral